RNAcentral lists this ribosomal RNA (561 nucleotides) under Triticum aestivum (bread wheat). RNAcentral describes it as "partial small subunit ribosomal RNA". The record is from RNAcentral. Lineage: Eukaryota; Viridiplantae; Streptophyta; Magnoliopsida; Poales; Poaceae.
AUGACUGUGCGUGGUCAGUUGCCUGGGGUUCAUUCAGGGCGGCGUGUUUGCUCUGCGGCUCGCCGGCCGCUCCGUUCUUGCCGACCUGGUGGGUUUACUUAUCCUUGUGUACUUGCAGUAGAGUGUGGUCAUCUUAUUUGGUUAUUUGAUUUCGUAGGUGGCCAGCGUUUCGAUUCGGAUCAGUUUCUUAGUGGAGAUCUUGAUAGCCGCUGUCGAGAGAUUUCGUUAGGGAAGCGGCAUGUUGAUUGCACUGUUGGUUCGAUCAUUACUGCUGGUUCUUCCACGUUUGAGGGCCUUGUGUCUACUGCUCGGCCCGCCAUUACGCGAACUGCUUCAUCGGUCGUGCAGAUGGUUGACAGGUCAAUUGGUCGCCCUUCUGCUCUUCCUGCCGGUGUCCAUUUUGACCGUUAUUUAGUUGGUGCUCCGUCUGUGGUUAACCGUCCAAGAGUGGUGCCUUUCCGUGUGGCUGGUGCCUUUGGUCGGCCUACUCCUCUUGGUAAGUUCAACUUUUUUACUGUGCCUGUGCAGCUGCUGCUACUGAUAAUUUCCUUUUGUAUCUGA